UGAACUGAUGUAGGUAUUUUACCAUUGUU
This 29-nucleotide small RNA is filed under the name Bombyx mori (domestic silkworm). Its description in RNAcentral is "piRNA piR-bmo-2083111". The record is from RNAcentral. Lineage: Eukaryota; Metazoa; Arthropoda; Insecta; Lepidoptera; Bombycidae.